This 65-nucleotide transfer RNA is filed under the name bovine gut metagenome. It matches the Rfam family "tRNA", at positions 6 to 65 of the family's 71-position model. From Rfam's summary of the family: Transfer RNA (tRNA) molecules are approximately 80 nucleotides in length. Their secondary structure includes four short double-helical elements and three loops (D, anti-codon, and T loops). Further hydrogen bonds mediate the characteristic L-shaped molecular structure. tRNAs have two regions of fundamental functional importance: the anti-codon, which is responsible for specific mRNA codon recognition, and the 3' end, to which the tRNAs corresponding amino acid is attached (by aminoacyl-tRNA synthetases). tRNAs cope with the degeneracy of the genetic code in two manners: having more than one tRNA (with a specific anti-codon) for a particular amino acid; and 'wobble' base-pairing, i.e. permitting non-standard base-pairing at the 3rd anti-codon position. RNAcentral also lists the same sequence under 2 other names. The record is from RNAcentral.
CUGGUAGUUCAGUUGGUUAGAACGCUAGCCUGUCACGCUAGAGGUCGUGGGUUCGACCCCCAUCC